Long non-coding RNA from Pogonomyrmex barbatus (red harvester ant), 811 nucleotides. RefSeq lists it as uncharacterized. Lineage: Eukaryota; Metazoa; Arthropoda; Insecta; Hymenoptera; Formicidae. The record is from RefSeq and is a predicted model, not a curated record.
AUGUUUGGCACAUGGAUAACGUCGACAGUUAAUUAAUAAACAAGAACAAAUAUUCCUUUUAAGGACGUACAACGGCGAGUGCAGAAACGAAUGAGAUAAUCAAGUGUACAUUUCUCUCACUCGUUCGGAAAGAUACGUGAAGCCUAGAAAUGGCGCGAAGAACUACACCUUUCUACACUCACAAAGGACUUGAUUAAUAAACGUCACCCUACGGAGCGAUGACGCCGCACAAAGAAAUAAAACCAAAUCUUAAAAUAAAGGAACGGAUUGUGAAACAGGGACGAUAAGAGAAGCGCAAAUUAAAUAGAACAAGACAUAAUAUUAUAAUAUAAGAUAUUUGUACAUUUCUGCAUAUAUUUGGAUUCUCUUCAACAGUCAAAAAUGCAUGGCAAAGAUAAUGGUGUCAUUGACCUAGGAUAUGAGGGAGAUGAAGGGAGAAGGGAGAAGGGAGAAGGUUGAUCUAGGUCCGGAGAUUAUUGACCUGGGUAAGGGGAUAUUGACCUAGGCUACAAGGUAUCAUUAAUCAGAAGGAUAGAAUAGAAUAUAGGCAAGAAUAUAUGGAAUGUAUUCAGCAGAAGUUGUGUUCCGAUUUAUAUUUAGGAUAUCGAUUGUGUAACUUUUUCUCUAGGAAUGUGAAAAGUGAAAAGUGAAUGUGAAAAGUGAAAAUUUUUACUAUUAAAGAAAAUAGAAAAUGUAAUUUUUUCCAUUCUAGAUAAAAAGUUACGUGAUUUAAAACUGUUUUCGAAUGAAUUAUUCGUAACUUAGUUUAUGCGAUGAUAAUAUUGUAAUUAAGGAGAGAGAGAGAGAGAGA